UACGGAGGGGGCUAGCGUUGUUCGGAAUUACUGGGCGUAAAGCGCGCGUAGGCGGACCUGCAAGUCGGGUGUGAAAUCUUGGAGCUCAACUCCAGAACUGCCUUUGAUACUGAAGAUCUUGAGUUCGGGAGAGGUGAGUGGAACUGCGAGUGUAGAGGUGAAAUUCGUAGAUAUCGUAAGGAAGACCAGUGGCGAAGGCGGGUCUCUGGACAGUUCCUGACGCUGAGACGCGAAAGCGUGGGGAGCGAACAGG
RNAcentral lists this ribosomal RNA (253 nucleotides) under uncultured bacterium. RNAcentral describes it as "partial 16S ribosomal RNA". It matches the Rfam family "Bacterial small subunit ribosomal RNA", at positions 524 to 776 of the family's 1533-position model. The record is from RNAcentral.